This 76-nucleotide transfer RNA is filed under the name Bacteriophage sp. RNAcentral describes it as "tRNA-Gln". It matches the Rfam family "tRNA". From Rfam's summary of the family: Transfer RNA (tRNA) molecules are approximately 80 nucleotides in length. Their secondary structure includes four short double-helical elements and three loops (D, anti-codon, and T loops). The record is from RNAcentral.
UGCGGGUUAGCCAAGAGGUAAAGGCAUCGCACUUUGACUGCGACAUUCGUUGGUUCGAAUCCAGCACCCGCAACCA